AUGACUGGGACUAAGAAUAAGACAAGAGGCCAGGCCAAAGCGGAAAAGAGUCUGCUAUACAAGCUAAAGCUGGAGAAGAGAGGGAGGCUACGGGUGUGGUUAGGCCUGUAGCCAAUACCUGGGCCAAAGCAAAAGACAAGCCAGGGUCUCUGACAGAUGCAGUGGCAGAGAUGAAGGCAGUGUCUAAGAACAAGGUCGGUGCUGAGAUGAAGGAAGGAGCCCCUGUCAGAGCCUAAGGCUCUGGGCAAAGCCACUGGAGAUUUCAGUCCCGAGGCUGGGAAUGAGUCCACCAGCUCCACAUGUAAAAAUGGGGCUGGUAUUGAUGCCUGGGUCUGGGCUGAGGAAGAGGCCACUAUCAAUUCCUGGUUCUGAAAUGGAGAAGAGGCUGGUAAUCAUUCCGGUGCUAAGAAUGAUAAACCUGAAAUUGGUGCCCAGGUCUGUGCUGAGGAGUUGGAGCCUGUGACUGGGGCCAGUUGCAAACCUAGGUCUGGGGCUGAGGAAGAGGAGGAAGAGAAUGUCAUUGGGAACUGGUUUUGGGAAGGAGAUGAUGCUAGUUUUGACCCUAAUCCUCAAUCUGUGAGUAGGAUAGUUAGAUCUCAGCCUGUGGAUGAAAUUAAUGGAAAAAAAAAAUAGGCCCAAGGACUGGUCUGAGGUAACUAUCUGGCCCAAAGCCCCUGCUGUAACUCCAGCAGUAUUCGGAUUAGAUCCCAGGCAUCUAAGGCAAGCCCUCCUUCAUAUAUUGUUUUGGCCUCAGCUGAAGAAAAUGCCUAUUCUUUGCCUGUGGCAACAGCCUGCCCUUGUAGGAACACUAACUCAUGCUCACAGCCCAUCCCUGAGUGUCCUUUUGGUUCCGACCCUUGCAUCCAGACCAUAGAUGAGAUUAGACACCAAAUCAGGAUUAGGGAGGUAAAUGGGAUUAAGCCAUUUGCUUACUCUUGCAAAAUGGAAUGCUAUGUGGACUCUGAGGAAUUUGAACAACUUGUUAACUUACUUAAGUCAACUACUGAUCCUCUUGUUCAUAAAAGAGCACAGAUUGCAAUGGGUAUCCAUAACGUUCACCCAUUUGCCCAAGAGUUUAUUAAUGAAAUGGUAUAAUGAUGCUUAUUGAAAGCUUGCUCAGUUUUCCUUCCCCAGAAAUGAGAAAAUUACUAAUUUUCUUAUGAGUAAUUACUCUGAAUCCUCCUUCUGGGGAUGAAAGACAAUGCAAAAUUGAAUUACAUGUUAAGCAUAUGUGUAAAGACACCAUGUCAUUUCCUUUGAACUCACCUGGACAGCAAUCUGGAUCAAAGAUACUAGGGCAACUGACUACUGAUUUUGUCCAUCACUACAUUGUUGCCGGUGACUUUUCAGAGCUUUUUCAUUUGCCAUCCUUGAGAAAGUACAAAACCAGACAUCUUGUUUUGAAAGUAAUUUUAAAUAUAUCUGAAAAUCCAACUGCAGCCAGAGACAUGAUCAAUAUGAAGGCACUGGCAGCAUCAAAACUCAUCUUUAACCAUAAAGAGGCAAAAGCCAGUCUUGUUAGUGGUGUGGCCAUAUUUAUUAACAUAAAGGAGCAUAUCAGAAAGGGCUCAAUUGUAGUUGUUGAUCACUUGAGUUAUAAUACACUCAUGGGCAUUCUCAGGGAAGUUAAAGGGAUUAUUGAAGCAAUGUA
Molecule: long non-coding RNA, 1651 nt
Filed under: Homo sapiens (human)
Lineage: Eukaryota; Metazoa; Chordata; Mammalia; Primates; Hominidae
Description: non-protein coding lnc-NRXN3-4:1
Source: RNAcentral